AGUGAACGCUGGCGGUAGGCCUAACACAUGCAAGUCGAACGGCAGCACAGGAGAGCUUGCUCUCUGGGUGGCGAGUGGCGGACGGGUGAGGAAUACAUCGGAAUCUGCCCAGUCGUGGGGGAUAACGUAGGGAAACUUACGCUAAUACCGCAUACGACCUUCGGGUGAAAGAGGGGGAUCGCAAGACCUCUCGCGAUUGGAUGAGCCGAUGUCGGAUUAGCUAGUUGGCGGGGUAAUGGCCCACCAAGGCGACGAUCCGUAGCUGGUCUGAGAGGAUGAUCAGCCACACUGGAGCUGAGACACGGUCCAGACUCCUACGGGAGGCAGCAGUGGGGAAUAUUGGACAAUGGGCGCAAGCCUGAUCCAGCCAUACCGCGUGGGUGAAGAAGGCCUUCGGGUUGUAAAGCCCUUUUGUUGGGAAAGAAAUCUUUCAGGCUAAUACCCUGGGAGGAUGACGGUACCCAAAGAAUAAGCACCGGCUAACUUCGUG
Molecule: ribosomal RNA, 490 nt
Filed under: uncultured bacterium
Lineage: Bacteria
Description: partial 16S ribosomal RNA
Rfam family: Bacterial small subunit ribosomal RNA
Source: RNAcentral